This 252-nucleotide ribosomal RNA is filed under the name uncultured bacterium. RNAcentral describes it as "partial 16S ribosomal RNA". It matches the Rfam family "Bacterial small subunit ribosomal RNA", at positions 524 to 775 of the family's 1533-position model. The record is from RNAcentral.
UACGUAGGAGGCAAGCGUUGUCCGGAUUUACUGGGUGUAAAGCGCGUGUAGGUGGGACGGGUAGUCUGCUGUGAAAGCGCCUGGCUUAACCGGGCGAGGUCGGCGGAAACUCCCGGCCUGGAGGCUCGUAGAGGGGGGUGGAAUUCCCGGUGUAGUGGUGAAAUGCGUAGAGAUCGGGAGGAACACCAGUGGCGCAGGCGGCCCCCUGGGCGAGUACUGACGCUGAGACGCGAAGGCGCGGGGAGCGAACGG